This is a long non-coding RNA of Frieseomelitta varia, 1917 nucleotides long. RefSeq lists it as uncharacterized. Lineage: Eukaryota; Metazoa; Arthropoda; Insecta; Hymenoptera; Apidae. The transcript has 3 exons. The record is from RefSeq and is a predicted model, not a curated record.
UAUUUCACUUACAAUGCGAAACGUAAUUCAAUGGUGAACAGAGAGCGGCGGAUUCCAUUGGAAGGGGAUGCCGGCGCGGCGGUGGAAACGGCGUCGACGCGUGUAGGCGAGGGCGACGACGAUCAUUGAAAUGGAAAUGCCAUUGACGCAAAGUGAAAGUAAUUAAUGGAAUAUGCCCGGGUGAUAGAAUGAAUUUGAUGGCGGCGCGGCCUUGUCGGGCCGAAACGCCGCGGUCCGGAACAGUGAAAUACGGGCAUAUAACCGACGAUGAAAGGGCGGCCUCGAGGGUGGAGGAUGGAGGAAAAGUAAUUUCCUUCCGGAGGGUGGAAGUGACAGAGACUCGCGGGGGAAGCUUUGGACUUACUCCUUCCAGCGCGGCUUUCAGUUCUAGCGAAGUGGAGAAAUUGCCGGGUGCGAAAGUGUUAAUCAGAAACUGCUUUGGACACGGAGUUAAACACGCUACAAAAAAAGGAAAAAAAAAAAAAGGAAAGAAAGAAUGAAUAACCAUGAGUUCGAGUAAAACAUCAAAAGGAAAGUGAUAGAAAAUGAAAGAGGGUCUAGACGAUAAAGAAUCUGCCGAAAAAGCAAGAGAAUCGGAAAAUGGUGGAAACGUGGAACGACGUCUAGAAUGCAAGAGAAGAGGACCUGAAAGAGAAACAAAGUAGGAAAAAAGGAAUCGAGAAGGAGGAAGAAGAAGAAGAAACAAACAUAGCGUCUGUUUGCCAGAACGUUCGGCAACACUAUACACUCUUCCCUGAUCCGUGACGAGGAUCCCGGAGGAUCCAAUUCAGGAUUGGCUUCCAAAACGCGCACUUGAGCCAACCACGAGCAAAUAUACGUGGCUGCACACACCACACGUGUACACGGUCGAUACAGGUAGAGGGUGAAGCUCGGUGAUCCCGGAGAGGUGAACACAGGAGUGGGUGUAAGAGGAAGGGGGCAGCGGAGUCAGAGCAAAUAUUGAUGGAAGUCGAAAAAAUUUUAAAAGCCAUACCAACCAGACCGUUCGCUUGUGUUUCGCCGCUUUUCCGCGGGAUCCGUGCUUUUUAAGUAUUCGACAAAUAUCGAUGUUUCCAUUGAUUUUCGAUUUCCAGCGCGAUCCCGUUCUCUGCUCCCCCCCUCCCCCCUCACUUUUUUGUCUCUCCCUCCCUCUCUCUUUCUGCGUUUUGUAUUGAAAUUUUUUACCAGCGUCACCUUUCUUUCAGUUUAGAAAAAUGCCGCGGGAAAACCGCUCUGUUUUUACUUUCUAUUUCUUUUUUCCUUUCGUUUUCAUAUUUUUUUAUUGUCAGGCUAUGAAGUUCGAUACCGAUAGUUGGUAUAUCCUAGGUAUGUGCGGAGAGCAGAAGUUUUUGUAGUUUAUUGAAAUCUGAAAACGAAUCGUGAAGAAUGCAGUGUGUUUGACUGAUUGUUUAGAGAAAACUUGGUUCUGAAACAAUAGUGUUUUUUUUAGAUAUAUCCAUAUGUUGUGACUGUAGAGAAUCCAUUGAUACACUUCUGUGUACAUUCGUUCAUGGAACUGAAAACCACCGACAUCGAAUCAUCUUCUGUUCUCACUGUAUCUUCCCUGUAAUCUCGGUUUCCUAAAGAUGCCUACUGUUGCCUUUUCAAAGAACAGUACCUGUUCCUAAGUAUCUAAACUCUGCUUUCCUCCAAACCCUCUUCUCACAAUUUAAAAUUCCAAACUUUAGUGGAGUGUAUGAUAAUUUCAGUAUGUUGUUAUAAAAGUAUCCUACCUACUAUUUAAUAAUUCUGACAAAAGAAGGUAGGAAGCUUACUAGCUACUAUUUAAUAAUUCUAAUAAAAAUAAGCUUUCUUCUCGAAAGAGUUACAAUGCUUGUGAAAACUCACGGUUAACGUGGAUAAAAUUUCAUUUCAGUAGGUUACUUCAGAAAUCAAUAGUAUUCUCUAAAUCUUUUA